RNAcentral lists this ribosomal RNA (500 nucleotides) under uncultured bacterium. RNAcentral's name for it is "bacterial SSU rRNA". It matches the Rfam family "Bacterial small subunit ribosomal RNA", at positions 195 to 686 of the family's 1533-position model. The record is from RNAcentral.
AGCAGGGGAUCGCAAGACCUUGCGCUAUUGGAGCGGCCGAUGUCAGAUUAGGUUGUUGGUGGGGUAAAAGCCCACCAAGCCGACGAUCUGUAGCUGGUCUGAGAGGACGACCAGCCACACUGGGACUGAGACACGGCCCAGACUCCUACGGGAGGCAGCAGUGGGGAAUUUUGGACAAUGGGCGCAAGCCUGAUCCAGCCAUGCCGCGUGCGGGAAGAAGGCCUUCGGGUUGUAAACCGCUUUUGUCAGGGAAGAAACGCUCCGGGCUAAUACCCUGGGGUAAUGACGGUACCUGAAGAAUAAGCACCGGCUAACUACGUGCCAGCAGCCGCGGUAAUACGUAGGGUGCAAGCGUUAAUCGGAAUUACUGGGCGUAAAGCGUGCGCAGGCGGUCUUGCAAGACAGAUGUGAAAUCCCCGGGCUUAACCUGGGAACUGCAUUUGUGACUGCAAGGCUAGAGUACGGUAGAAGGGGAUGGAAUUCCGCGUGUAGCAAUGAAA